Molecule: ribosomal RNA, 879 nt
Filed under: Adota ushio
Lineage: Eukaryota; Metazoa; Arthropoda; Insecta; Coleoptera; Staphylinidae
Also listed under: 3 other names
Description: SSU rRNA
Rfam family: Eukaryotic small subunit ribosomal RNA
Source: RNAcentral
UAGUGACGAAAAAUAACGAUACGGGACUCAUCCGAGGCCCCGUAAUCGGAAUGAGUACACUUUAAAACUUUUCCCGAAAAUCAAUUGGAGGGUAAGUCUGGUGCCAGCAGCCGCGGUAAUUCCAGCUCCAAUAGCGUAUAUUAAAGUUGUUGCGGUUAAAAAGCUCGUAGUCGAAUCUGUGUCCCGCGCCGCUGGUUCAUCGCUCGCGGUGUUCAACUGGCGUGUCUCGCGGGACGUCCUGCCGGUGGGCGCUCGUAUCGUUUCGGCGGUGCGUGGCCCAACUCGUAGCCGUCUCGCGCGGUUGCGAAUCCCAUCGCGGUGCUCUUUAUUGAGUGUCGAGGUGGGCCGGCACGUUUACUUUGAACAAAUUAGAGUGCUUAAAGCAGGCCAAAUUUGCCUGAAUAUUGUGUGCAUGGAAUAAUGGAAUAGGACCUCGGUUCUAUUUUGUUGGUUUUCUGAACCCCGAGGUAAUGAUUAAUAGGAACGGAUGGGGGCAUUCGUAUUGCGACGUUAGAGGUGAAAUUCUUGGAUCGUCGCAAGACGGACAGAAGCGAAAGCAUUUGCCAAAAACGUUUUCAUUGAUCAAGAACGAAAGUUAGAGGUUCGAAGGCGAUCAGAUACCGCCCUAGUUCUAACCAUAAACGAUGCCAGCUAGCGAUCCGCCGACGUUCCUCCGAUGACUCGGCGGGCAGCUUCCGGGAAACCAAAGCUUUUGGGUUCCGGGGGAAGUAUGGUUGCAAAGCUGAAACUUAAAGGAAUUGACGGAAGGGCACCACCAGGAGUGGAGCCUGCGGCUUAAUUUGACUCAACACGGGACACCUCACCAGGCCCGGACACCGGAAGGAUUGACAGAUUGAGAGCUCUUUCUUGAUUCGGUGG